GUCUCUGUAGCACAAUGAAAAGCGUGUUGAAUUUUUAAUUCAAAGUCGUGGGUUCGAAUCCCAACUGGAAUG
Non-coding RNA from Trichonephila inaurata madagascariensis, 72 nucleotides. The record is from the annotation of a GenBank genome assembly. Lineage: Eukaryota; Metazoa; Arthropoda; Arachnida; Araneae; Nephilidae.